UCGAUGCUCCCCGGUGUAGUUCGUGAGGACGAGAAGGCCAGCCGUGGAAUCUACGCCCCGGCGGAACCAGUCGACGCCAGCGAUGAGAAACACAGCCCCGUCCAGGCGUCAGAGAGUGUGAUGGUGCUUCUUGGUUGUCAGCUUGACUACAUCUGGAAUUAACUAAAACCGCAAAAUGGAGGGCACACCUGUGAAGGAUUUCUGCUUAAUUUGAAGAUGGAAGAUCUACUUGUAAUCUGAAUCUUUGAGGAUUAAAGGCUUGCUUCCUGGGAUUAAAGGCGUGAGUC
Peromyscus leucopus (white-footed mouse) is the source of this 287-nucleotide long non-coding RNA. RefSeq lists it as uncharacterized. The record is from RefSeq and is a predicted model, not a curated record. The transcript is spliced from 3 exons. Lineage: Eukaryota; Metazoa; Chordata; Mammalia; Rodentia; Cricetidae.